Non-coding RNA from Ictidomys tridecemlineatus (thirteen-lined ground squirrel), 1078 nucleotides. NCBI's taxonomy places the organism in Eukaryota, Metazoa, Chordata, Mammalia, Rodentia, Sciuridae. The record is from RefSeq and is a predicted model, not a curated record.
UCUGAAUUAUAUUUGAUUUAGGUUAAUAUUAAUGCCCUGUACUCCUUGAGCACGUUCUUCUGGGGAGAGGUGCUCCUGGCUGGUGGUGAGUGGCCUGGGGGGGGUGGUGACAUCCAAAGGGUAGGCAGAGCCCAUGAAGGUAACUGAAUUUUGAGGAGCUGAAUUUUGUGUGUUGCUCAGGAGGCAGCUGAGCAGAGGGACGUGAUGACCUGCAAGUUGGGAGUACUAGGCUGAAGUCCUGAAUCUGCCAACUGUGAAACCCGGGACAAGAAGGGUGACCAAGGACAUGGGAAUCUUGUGCUAAAGCUAGGAAAGCCCUGGUCCUGGCACUCAACUGCACAUCUAGACUUGGCCCCAGAGGCCACCUGUAGUAGCAGAAGAGGUAUGGCAUUUGCACCUCAGGCAGCAGGGGUCCCAAUGGUAGCUCUGGAGUAAUGAUUGAGCCAGGAGACAUCCACCAUGCCGGCCAUGGAGUGCUCAGGAAUUGGUGGGAAUCAGCUCAGCCAAUGACUGCUGCUGUUGGCCAUCUGCUGGGACAUGCAAAUAGCUUAUAGAAUCACAGAGCCACAGACUGUCGGAGCCAGAAGGGCUUUGGGGAUCUUGUCAUCCAACCCAUUCGCAGCACAGAUGAUGGAACUGAAGCCCAGAGAGGGGAUGGACAUGGCUGCUGAGUCUGAGCUGUAGGCAAGAGCAGGGAGAUUCCAGCCAUGAGGGUGGCAUCUCCCAACAUCCACCUCCAAGCUGCUUUGCCCAGCUUCCUCCUUGAUGAUGGACCUGCUGUCCUGGUGGGUACCAUGGACUGGGCACUGUGUGAAUGCCUGUGUGUGUGGCGGGUGGCACAGGGCUGCCGGGUGUGUUCGGCUGCAGUGCUAACAUGCACACAGAACGCCAGGGCCAGUUCCUGAUUUGUAGGAUGUGGUAGUGAGGCCUUCAUCUCUUACAGUUUUGGGCCACCCAAGGAGUCCUGUGAAUGGGUGACAGGAUCCAAAGCAGUAGGGCCCGGAGGUGUUUUUCCUGCCUUUGUUAGCUUCCUCUGGGUCAAGCUAAGAGGCAGGGGAGAGGGUUGGGCCAGCCCCCA